RNAcentral lists this ribosomal RNA (455 nucleotides) under uncultured bacterium. Its description in RNAcentral is "bacterial SSU rRNA". It matches the Rfam family "Bacterial small subunit ribosomal RNA", at positions 29 to 506 of the family's 1533-position model. The record is from RNAcentral.
AUUAACGCUGGCGGCGUGCCUUAUGCAUGCAAGUCGCACGGUUUUUUCGCAAGAGGAGACAGUGGCAGACGGGUGAGUAACGCGUAAGUAACCUGUCCCUAAGUGGGGAAUAGCUCGGAGAAAUCUGAGGUAAUACCGCAUGUGUCCCUUGACCGAUGGGUUAAGGAGUAAAGCAGUAAUGCGCUUGGGGAGGGGCUUGCGUCUGAUUAGCUAGUUGGUGGGGUAAUGGCUCACCAAGGCGACGAUCGGUAGCUGGUCUGAGAGGACGACCAGCCACACUGGGACUGAGACACGGCCCAGACUCCUACGGGAGGCAGCAGCAAGGAAUAUUGUGCAAUGGGCGAAAGCCUGACACAGCGACGCCGCGUGAAGGAUGAAGACCUUCGGGUUGUAAACUUCUUUUAUCAGGGAAGAAUAAUGACGGUACCUGGUGAAUAAGCCACGGCGAACUACGU